GUUGCAUGCAAGCUCUUCAAAGGUGAUAAGAAAAAUAGAGACUGGUUACAGCUACGAUGCGUCUUACGGACCUGAAGCUGUUCUUAGCUGUGUAUCAGGCAGUUAAAGAUAUUUUUAACUUCCAGUCUUUAAAAGGUGAUGGACUUUUUUUUUUUAAUAUAAAAAGCAUAUUAAAAUAUUAAGCAUAUUUAAAAGGCUAUCAUGAAUAACAUGAAUUAAGCAAACAAGACAGGAAUAGGAGUGGAGCUUUGGGAUGUUAUGCUAGGUGUUCUUACACAUUUUCUGUGUAGCACUCCUUCCACCAGAAGAAACUCACUAGCCCAUGGAGAAGAAACAAUUAGGGCUGGUUUAAUGUAAUGUUAUUUACUCUUUCAUAUUCUGCAGGACCUCAUUAGAAGGAUGAGAGAUGAGUUCCAGCCGUGCAUGUAUGUUAAUAAUAGGCAGUACAAACAAGAUUAUAUUAAGAGAAUCCCGGAUGAUACAUAAGGAAUUAGAGACAGGAGUCUCUAUAAAAGCAGGCAUGCACUCAGUGAAAGUAAGUGCUUGUAAGUCUUUGCAGAAGAGGAACCACAAAGGUAGAGGCUGGGUCAAACUCCUUAAGCUUCCUAAAAAUUUGUGGUAAUCCAAACAGUGAAGUGAAAUCCAGGAGUCCUCUGAGCUAUUGUUGGCUUAUUUUCACUAUCUUAGAACUUUGUCCUUGAAAUUCCUUUUGGAAGAAACUUAAACCAAAACAGAUUUACUGCACUGGGGUUGUGAGACAGUAGAAAAAUGCAGUUUGUCUCCAAAAUAGAUUGUUCUAAAUCCCCUGCACACGUGAUGCUCAAAGUGUGAUCAGAAGGACCUCUGAAGGACUGGUAAUCGUGCAUUUUAAAAUAGCUGCUCCUUUUAAGCCUUCCUAAAGAACCCAGGAAUUCCAAGAUGUUUUUCAUGUGGCACAAGUACUUUUUCCUUAUUAUUUAACCAGGGGGACUUUCCUUAGAGACCAAUCUUCAGGAAGACACUUUAGCACGUGUGUACAUUUAAGAGAAUUUAUCUCCUAUUGAAGUCCACGGAGCUUGAGAGGUGCCUAAAAGUAAACAGGAGUUUAAGAGUUUUCUUUAAGCAGCAGGGCCGUGAUGUCUAGUAUGUGUGAAGUCUUUUAGAGAACUGUAAAGGGCAAAAUACAUGAUGAAAAGACCAAAUGAUAAUAGAUGAAAGAGAGGAACAAGCUGUGUCCACUACUAUUAAACAACUUCUUAUCAGUAUUUCCAUUAGGUGCCAGUCUCUGAAGAUAAGUGCACCAUUCAGCUGCUAGUUUGGGAUGGUGUAUAUUUUGCCUAUAUAUUGACAGUAAAAAUCAAACGAUAGAAGUGUGCAGUGUGUGGUGUCAUGGUUCAGUCCAGCGGAUCAAACCACUGUGCAUCACACCAGAUGCUAUUACAAUGCUGUAAUUUCUGUGGGAUACAAAUCAAUGACAGAAAACUUCAAAACAAAGAUUAAAACUAUUUACACAGAGACAAAAUCACUUUGAGGUUUUCAAUGACUUGUACUUUCUAAGCACCAGUGAUUCCUACCCCUAGUAACUUCCUAGUAAAAACACUGUAACUACUGUAUUUUCACCUUGUAUGUAGAUGAUUAUUUAGGAAUACAUUUAAAUCUGUACCAAAAUGUACUGGUCAUACAAAGUUAAGGUUACAAACGUCUUCAUUCUCUCAAAAUACAUCUGAAAAGGAAGAGAGUUGACAAACUUGCCAGCAUUUUGUACUGACAUUUUACUUUAAUUUCCAGGAGACGUUUUAACUGCAUAGCAGCCACAGCCAGAAACUGGGUGGUAGGCUCGCCAGGACUGGAGAGAGGAUGAAGCAACACUGGGCUGGACUUGCAAGGAUGGAGUUGGAACUGGCUAGGAAAGGCUGUCCAGCCUGGAAGCUGCAGAAGGAAACACAGCAGUUUCUGUUUCCCGACAGCCCUCUCUCAUAAACGCACUGCCAGGUCAGAGGUGUGUGUCUGCAUAGUGCAGCCUGUUGUAUCCCUCUGAGCACCGCAGGAGCUGACAUAGAUUUCAGCAGGGUGUCCAGCCCACAGCAACAACGCCCUUUUCCUCAACAGGUUUGGUUAGCCCCAAGCAAACUGCUCUGCUCACAUAGCUGAACUGUGUCUGCUGCUGGAGGCAGCUUGGAUGUAUCUGCACAGAACUGUGUUACAUCAUCAUCCCUAAUAAAUACUUGGCAAAUCAAA
Long non-coding RNA from Pezoporus flaviventris, 2217 nucleotides. RefSeq lists it as uncharacterized. The record is from RefSeq and is a predicted model, not a curated record. Lineage: Eukaryota; Metazoa; Chordata; Aves; Psittaciformes; Psittacidae. The transcript is spliced from 2 exons.